AGAGUUUGAUCAUGGCUCAGAUUGAACGCUGGCGGCAGGCCUAACACAUGCAAGUCGAGCGGUAGCACAGAGAGCUUGCUCUCGGGUGACGAGCGGCGGACGGGUGAGUAAUGUCUGGGAAACUGCCUGAUGGAGGGGGAUAACUACUGGAAACGGUAGCUAAUACCGCAUAANGUCGCAAGACCAAAGUGGGGGACCUUCGGGCCUCAUGCCAUCAGAUGUGCCCAGAUGGGAUUAGCUAGUAGGUGGGGUAACGGCUCACCUAGGCGACGAUCCCUAGCUGGUCUGAGAGGAUGACCAGCCACACUGGAACUGAGACACGGUCCAGACUCCUACGGGAGGCAGCAGUGGGGAAUAUUGCACAAUGGGCGCAAGCCUGAUGCAGCCAUGCCGCGUGUGUGAAGAAGGCCUUCGGGUUGUAAAGCACUUUCAGCGGGGAGGAAGGCGUUAAGGUUAAUAACCUUGGCGAUUGACGUUACCCGCAGAAGAAGCACCGGCUAACUCCGUGCCAGCAGCCGCGGUAAUACGGAGGGUGCAAGCGUUAAUCGGAAUUACUGGGCGUAAAGCGCACGCAGGCGGUCUGUCAAGUCGGAUGUGAAAUCCCCGGGCUCAACCUGGGAACUGCAUUCGAAACUGGCAGGCUAGAGUCUUGUAGAGGGGGGUAGAAUUCCAGGUGUAGCGGUGAAAUGCGUAGAGAUCUGGAGGAAUACCGGUGGCGAAGGCGGCCCCCUGGACAAAGACUGACGCUCAGGUGCGAAAGCGUGGGGAGCAAACAGGAUUAGAUACCCUGGUAGUCCACGCCGUAAACGAUGUCGAUUUGGAGGUUGUGCCCUUGAGGCGUGGCUUCCGGAGCUAACGCGUUAAAUCGACCGCCUGGGGAGUACGGCCGCAAGGUUAAAACUCAAAUGAAUUGACGGGGGCCCGCACAAGCGGUGGAGCAUGUGGUUUAAUUCGAUGCAACGCGAAGAACCUUACCUGGUCUUGACAUCCACAGAACUUUCCAGAGAUGGAUUGGUGCCUUCGGGAACUGUGAGACAGGUGCUGCAUGGCUGUCGUCAGCUCGUGUUGUGAAAUGUUGGGUUAAGUCCCGCAACGAGCGCAACCCUUAUCCUUUGUUGCCAGCGGUUNGGCCGGGAACUCAAAGGAGACUGCCAGUGAUAAACUGGAGGAAGGUGGGGAUGACGUCAAGUCAUCAUGGCCCUUACGACCAGGGCUACACACGUGCUACAAUGGCAUAUACAAAGAGAAGCGACCUCGCGAGAGCAAGCGGACCUCAUAAAGUAUGUCGUAGUCCGGAUUGGAGUCUGCAACUCGACUCCAUGAAGUCGGAAUCGCUAGUAAUCGUAGAUCAGAAUGCUACGGUGAAUACGUUCCCGGGCCUUGUACACACCGCCCGUCACACCAUGGGAGUGGGUUGCAAAAGAAGUAGGUAGCUUAACCUUCGGGAGGGCGCUUACCACUUUGUGAUUCAUGACUGGGGUGAAGUCGUAACAAGGUAACCGUAGGGGAACCUGCGGUUGGAUCACCU
RNAcentral lists this ribosomal RNA (1528 nucleotides) under Klebsiella pneumoniae. RNAcentral describes it as "bacterial SSU rRNA". It matches the Rfam family "Bacterial small subunit ribosomal RNA". The record is from RNAcentral. Lineage: Bacteria; Pseudomonadati; Pseudomonadota; Gammaproteobacteria; Enterobacterales; Enterobacteriaceae.